Molecule: ribosomal RNA, 253 nt
Filed under: uncultured bacterium
Lineage: Bacteria
Description: partial 16S ribosomal RNA
Rfam family: Bacterial small subunit ribosomal RNA
Source: RNAcentral
UACGUAGGGGGCAAGCGUUGUCCGGAUUUAUUGGGCGUAAAGAGCGUGUAGGCGGCUAGGUAGGUCCGUUGUGAAAACUCGAGGCUCAACCUCGAGACGCCGGUGGAAACCAUCUAGCUAGAGUCCGGAAGAGGAGAGUGGAAUUCCUGGUGUAGCGGUGAAAUGCGCAGAUAUCAGGAAGAACACCCGUGGCGAAGGCGGCUCUCUGGGACGGUACUGACGCUGAGACGCGAAAGCGUGGGGAGCGAACAGG